UACGGAGGGAGCUAGCGUUGUUCGGAAUUACUGGGCGUAAAGCGCACGUAGGCGGCUUUGUAAGUUAGAGGUGAAAGCCCUGGGCUCAACCCAGGAAGUGCACUCGAAACUGUCAGGCUUGAAUAUGGAAGAGGGUCGCGGAAUUCCCGGUGUAGAGGUGAAAUUCGUAGAUAUCGGGAGGAACACCAGUGGCGAAGGCGGCGACCUGGGCCAAUAUUGACGCUGAGGUGCGAAAGCGUGGGGAGCAAACAGG
Molecule: ribosomal RNA, 253 nt
Filed under: uncultured bacterium
Lineage: Bacteria
Description: partial 16S ribosomal RNA
Rfam family: Bacterial small subunit ribosomal RNA
Source: RNAcentral